RNAcentral lists this transfer RNA (75 nucleotides) under Alphaproteobacteria bacterium. Its description in RNAcentral is "tRNA-Thr". It matches the Rfam family "tRNA". From Rfam's summary of the family: Transfer RNA (tRNA) molecules are approximately 80 nucleotides in length. Lineage: Bacteria; Pseudomonadati; Pseudomonadota; Alphaproteobacteria. The record is from RNAcentral.
GCCGCUGUAGCUCAGUGGUAGAGCGCGUCAUUGGUAAUGACGAGGCCGGAAGUUCAAUUCUUCCCAGCGGCACCA